GAUGAAGAACGCAGCGAAAUGCGAUAAGUAGUGUGAAUUGCAGAAUUCAGUGAAUCAUCGAAUCUUUGAACGCACAUUGCGCCCUCUGGUAUUCCGGGGGGCAUGCCUGUUCGAGCGUCAUUAUAACCACUCAAGCUCUCGCUUGGUAUUGGGGUUCGCGGUUCCGCGGCCCCUAAAAUCAGUGGCGGUGCCUGUCGGCUCUACGCGUAGUAAUACUCCUCGCGUCUGGGUCCGGUAGGUCUACUUGCCAGCAACCCCCAAUUUUUACAGGUUGACCUCGGAUCAGGUAGGGAUACCCGCUGAACUUAAGCAUAUCAAUAAGCGGAGGA
This 329-nucleotide unclassified non-coding RNA is filed under the name soil metagenome. RNAcentral describes it as "partial contains 5.8S ribosomal RNA, internal transcribed spacer 2, and large subunit ribosomal RNA". The stretch from base 1 to 120 matches the Rfam family "5.8S ribosomal RNA", at positions 35 to 154 of the family's 154-position model. The record is from RNAcentral.